Molecule: ribosomal RNA, 532 nt
Filed under: Escherichia coli
Lineage: Bacteria; Pseudomonadati; Pseudomonadota; Gammaproteobacteria; Enterobacterales; Enterobacteriaceae
Description: bacterial SSU rRNA
Rfam family: Bacterial small subunit ribosomal RNA
Source: RNAcentral
GCGGCCUUAGGGCGAUUCGGAGUGAGUAUGUCUGGGAACUGCCUGAUGGAGGGGGAUAACUACUGGAAACGGUAGCUAAUACCGCAUAACGUCGCAAGACCAAAGAGGGGGACCUUCGGGCCUCUUGCCAUCGGAUGUGCCCAGAUGGGAUUAGCUAGUAGGUGGGGUAACGGCUCACCUAGGCGACGAUCCCUAGCUGGUCUGAGAGGAUGACCAGCCACACUGGAACUGAGACACGGUCCAGACUCCUACGGGAGGCAGCAGUGGGGAAUAUUGCACAAUGGGCGCAAGCCUGAUGCAGCCAUGCCGCGUGUAUGAAGAAGGCCUUCGGGUUGUAAAGUACUUUCAGCGGGGAGGAAGGGAGUAAAGUUAAUACCUUUGCUCAUUGACGUUACCCGCAGAAGAAGCACCGGCUAACUCCGUGCCAGCAGCCGCGGUAAUACGGAGGGUGCAAGCGUUAAUCGGAAUUACUGGGCGUAAAGCGCACGCAGGCGGUUUGUUAAAUCAAAUGUGAAUCCCCCCCGGGCUAAAA